This 700-nucleotide ribosomal RNA is filed under the name Marinomonas sp. R289. RNAcentral describes it as "bacterial SSU rRNA". It matches the Rfam family "Bacterial small subunit ribosomal RNA", at positions 48 to 740 of the family's 1533-position model. The record is from RNAcentral. Lineage: Bacteria; Pseudomonadati; Pseudomonadota; Gammaproteobacteria; Oceanospirillales; Oceanospirillaceae.
UUAACACAUGCAAGUCGAGCGGUAACAUUUCUAGCUUGCUAGAAGAUGACGAGCGGCGGACGGGUGAGUAACGCGUAGGAAUCUGCCUAGUAGUGGGGGACAACAUGUGGAAACGCAUGCUAAUACCGCAUACGCCCUACGGGGGAAAGGAGGGGAUCUUCGGACCUUUCGCUAUUAGAUGAGCCUGCGUGAGAUUAGCUAGUUGGUGGGGUAAAGGCCUACCAAGGCGACGAUCUCUAGCUGGUCUGAGAGGAUGAUCAGCCACACUGGGACUGAGACACGGCCCAGACUCCUACGGGAGGCAGCAGUGGGGAAUAUUGGACAAUGGGCGCAAGCCUGAUCCAGCCAUGCCGCGUGUGUGAAGAAGGCCUUAGGGUUGUAAAGCACUUUCAGGAGUGAGGAAGGGUGUGCAGUUAAUACCGGUAUAUUUUGACGUUAACUCCAGAAGAAGCACCGGCUAACUCUGUGCCAGCAGCCGCGGUAAUACAGAGGGUGCGAGCGUUAAUCGGAAUUACUGGGCGUAAAGCGCGCGUAGGCGGUUUGUUAAGUCGGAUGUGAAAUCCCAGGGCUCAACCUUGGAAUGGCACCCGAUACUGGCAGGCUAGAGUACGGUAGAGGGGUGUGGAAUUUCCUGUGUAGCGGUGAAAUGCGUAGAUAUAGGAAGGAACAUCAGUGGCGAAGGCGACACCCUGACCGAUAC